This 465-nucleotide ribosomal RNA is filed under the name uncultured bacterium. RNAcentral describes it as "bacterial SSU rRNA". It matches the Rfam family "Bacterial small subunit ribosomal RNA", at positions 329 to 792 of the family's 1533-position model. The record is from RNAcentral.
GCCCAGACUCCUACGGGAGGCAGCAGUGAGGAAUAUUGGUCAAUGGUCGGGAGACUGAACCAGCCAAGCCGCGUGAAGGAAUAAGGCCCUACGGGUCGUAAACUUCUUUAGUCAGGGAACAAAGGGAGCCACGCGUGGCGCUGUGAGUGUACCUGAAGAAUAAGCAUCGGCUAACUCCGUGCCAGCAGCCGCGGUAAUACGGAGGAUGCGAGCGUUAUCCGGAUUUAUUGGGUUUAAAGGGUGCGUAGGCGGAAUGCCAAGUCAGCGGUAAAAUCGGGGGGCUCAACCUCGCUCCGCCGUUGAAACUGGCGUUCUUGAGUGGGCGAGAAGUAUGCGGAAUGCGUGGUGUAGCGGUGAAAUGCAUAGAUAUCACGCAGAACUCCGAUUGCGAAGGCAGCAUACCGGCGCCCAACUGACGCUGAAGCACGAAAGCGUGGGUAUCGAACAGGAUUAGAUACCCCGGUA